ACCAUUCCCAGGCUAGCCUGUGGGCUGAGCACGUAAAAUUACUUAUCUCGAAAGCCCGACAUGAUGAGUUCGAUUCCCAGACUCCAUGGUAGAAGGAGAGAGCAGACCCUUACAAAUAGUCUUCUGUCUUCUUCCACACAUUUGUCAUGGAGGUUGCGGGAGCACAGCCUGCCCUAUGGUUUAUGACUAAUUUGCAGCCAUUUGAGUUCAAAUACUGCUGAGAAGAUCCAAACUGCAAAGAAACACCCUGGAGCACCCUGUUUAUUCCUCUAGCAUCUGAGCACAGCGGGGAGUCUCCUUUCUUCUGCUGGAGAUGAUGUCUAUAUUGGCCAUUACAGAGAGAGGCAUAGACAGGGAAGAAUGCAUUCCUAGCCUCAACACUGGCACCUGCCCUGUCAGCAUUAGUCUGUUAAAGAAGCCCCAUUCUUCACCAAAGCCAAGGCUCUAAAACUGAACUCAGAGUUUCAGCACAGCAGGAUGUGCAGGGUACAUCCUACAUGCUGGAUACAUCCUACCUGCUGUGGUAUACGCUGACAUCCACGUGGGGUAUAACUGGCAAGGGAUUCUUAUCCCCUGGCUUGUAAACUACAUCUGACCCUGAAGAGCUGUCCUUUGUCAGCAUCUGUCACAGGUGCCAGAGGAAGACUGAAAGCCAUCUUGGAAGGAUGCAGAGUCACCAGCUUUGGUGUGGCUCCCACGGUUCCUUGCGAAGACUUCCAAGGUUUUAUCUCUUGGCCAUCAGAGCUCUGCUUCCCUUGAUCUAUGCAGAUGGAAGACCCCUCAACCCUCAACCCAUUGCCUUCUCCCAAUCCAUACCCCACCAGUGCAACCCAGUGGUUCUACUGUUCUAAAUGGCCAUGUCUUGGGCCUCUGCUCCAACUUCCUACAACAUCACAGCUGAAUUCUUCCAUCAGUCAUUGUCACGGCCAUUGUCUUGUCUUCUCUGAAUCCCACAGACUUGUUGAGCUUGACUCAACUUCUCUUUGCCAUUCUCAACUCUUUCCUAUUCAGAAGAUUAAAACUUUGAUUUCAUUUGGA
Rattus norvegicus (Norway rat) is the source of this 1038-nucleotide non-coding RNA. Lineage: Eukaryota; Metazoa; Chordata; Mammalia; Rodentia; Muridae. The record is from RefSeq and is a predicted model, not a curated record.